This 451-nucleotide ribosomal RNA is filed under the name uncultured bacterium. RNAcentral's name for it is "bacterial SSU rRNA". It matches the Rfam family "Bacterial small subunit ribosomal RNA", at positions 328 to 793 of the family's 1533-position model. The record is from RNAcentral.
GCGCCAGACUCCUACGGGAGGCAGCAGUGGGGAAUAUUGCACAAUGGGGGAAACCCUGAUGCAGCGACGCCGCGUGAGUGAAGAAGUAUUUCGGUAUGUAAAGCUCUAUCAGCAGGGAAGAAAAAAGACGGUACCUGACUAAGAAGCCCCGGCUAACUACGGGCCAGCAGCCGCGGUAAUACGUAGGGGGCAAGCGUUAUCCGGAUUUACUGGGUGUAAAGGGAGCGUAGACGGCAUAGCAAGUCUGAAGUGAAAGCCCAAGGCUCAACCAUGGGACUGCUUUGGGAACUGUACGGCUGGAGUGCAGGAGAGGUAAGUGGAAUUCCUAGUGUAGCGGUGAAAUGCGUAGAUAUUAGGAGGAACACCAGUGGCGAAGGCGGCUUACUGGACUGUAACUGACGUUGAGGCUCGAAAGCGUGGGGAGCAAACAGGAUUAGAUACCCCAGUAAAG